UUUGCCACAGAUUAAUAGUUUGUCAGCAGUUAGUAUAUGCUAACUAAGUAGAGCAUUAAAUUCAAGCUUAUUGUUUAGUGGUGGACUUGUCUUCUGCACACAGGUUUUUCAGAUCUAGGUAGUUGGAGUCAGUUGAUGACUUUAAAAUCAUUUUUUCUGACUGGAUAAUUAAAGCUCACAGCAUCUACCUGUCUGUAGUUGAUUUUCCCACAUUUUAACUAACAUUUAACUAAUCUAAUCUCAUUUAAUGUCUCUGUUUAUAGUCUAUAUAGUUUAUCUCCCCACUAACACACUUAAAGUAGUCUUAAAAUAAAACCCACAAAACAGUUCAAGAUGAAAUACUUUGUAUUUGCUCAUGUAAUGCCAGUUGCCCUAUUUUUCUGUAUGUCACUCAUUCGCUUAUACUCGGGCAAAAAAUACCAAUUUGUACACUGAUGAGUCUAGUGUAUUUUUUCCCUUUAUCUCUCUAUGUCUCACACACACAGACCAACACACAGACAUGUAUAUGCUCAUUAUUGCUGUUCAAACUGAUGGUCAAAUUUCCAAGCAGCACCUGAACGCCUCAUCUGUUUUUAACCCAUCACUGGACCAACUGUCGUCAUUCCGCUGUGCUCUCUGCUGUGGAACUUGACUGACAACUGUGCUUUGCCUGGUAGGUGUGCACAUACUGUAAGAGAAGUAGACCAAAAUAAAAAAAUAAUCUGACUAAUAUAAGCUGUAAAGUGAUGGGUUCAAACUUUGUGCUAGACCUUUUAAACACAGUUUUAUAAUAAAUACACAUAAGUGCAGCUUAACAAUUGGGCUAAAAUAUUUUUUUCGUACAUUUUUGUAGUCACACUACAUGUGAUUAGUUAAUGAUUCACUCAAUCAUAUUUGUAUUUAAAUAUUAUUGCUGAAUUUAAUUAAAUAUUUAUUCUUUUAGAAAGUGCCCAAUUAUGCAACUUUUUGCACAUGGCAGCCGACAACCGUUACUGCUUCUAAACCCAAGGCAUUGAAAAUACUUUUUGAACCGUGAGGGUCUUAAGGACUGGUUCUACACAACAAUGUGUUCUUUAUGUUCCAGCUGUCAAAAUGUGGCCACAUACGCAAUUUCAAAGUUGGGUCUUUCCUCCUGUUCCUGACAGAUAAUACAAUCUAUAGGUUAGUUACAAGGUACUUGCUUCUUAUUUCCUGAAAAUGCAAGGUGAAUUCUAAUAUUUGGGGGGGGGGGGUGUAGCUGAAAAGUAACAGCUUCAGAUGUUAGGCACAAAACAUCUGCUAGAUACAGUUCAUGGUGACUCUUGAUGUCAUUAAUAUGAGCUGACAGUGCCUCUGUAAUAUGGUGAACAAUGAUGAAAGUUUUUAACCAGCUGACUGUUUGUCUUAUGAGUAGACACCCCUCUACACACUAAGCAUAUCGAGAUAACCGGCUUUUGUCUCGAGCACAUCACGCACUUUGAUGAGCGCGAGCAGAUUCCUUCUAGAACAUCAGACCGUUGGCUGUUAUUUGACACCUAAAUCGUAACUGCACAAGAUAGGUGAGUAUUAUUGGUUUAAACACACAGUUAAUCUCUUAAAUCAAAAUAUGUAGUCCCAAAUCAAUAACACAACUCCAUAAUUGAUGUUAUUGUAUAAAAAAACCCCAGCACGAACAAAUAAUAAGUACCUAAAACCUCCGGUUAUAAAACCCGAAAUCUCCCGUUAGCAGGCACUCCUUUAGCUACGCUGUCAGUUAAACAUUAGCAAAGGUGACAAAGAAAUCACCUUAAACAUUUUUUUAAUUUCUGUGAAAUAAACAAAUUUUACUGGUUUGUUAAAAGAUUAGCCAUUUUUUUCUUUUUCAUUUUUUCAGUUAUCGUGACAUAUGCAAAGACAAGAACAUAAAACAGUGAUGUAGACUACAGAAGGCUAUAUGGGUUUUUAACAGAUAUUCUCAGCAUAUAAAUAACACAAUGCGACAUAUUUCUUAGUUAUAAAGGCUCCGUGUAACUCUGCUUACGUUAACUAAGCCAUGAACACCUGUGCGACUUGAAUUUCAUAUGUUAGCAGCACGGUAGCAGGUACACUGACCGCUAGCCACACAGUUUAUACUCUUAAAUUCAUGUGCUCUUUGUACACUCUUGGCUAAUUAACUGUGGAGUUUACAUUGCAAGUUAUUAACACAGAGAGCAUUGAAAAACGCAUAAGUCUUACCUACAUGUUCGGGUUUAAAAUUUUCCCUCAGUUGCCUCGUGCCACGUUAUGAGCUCCCCCGUGACUCCGCGGGAGCCGAAACUGCAGCACUUACUCUGUUCCUGGCAUGCAUGAAUUCAGAGUUAAAAAUAUGUGGCGCCUCCUACUGCACGGAGUGUGUGAUAUCAAGAAAGACGUCUUAAGAGCUUAAAAGAAUGUGAUUGGACUUCUUUAACUUAUCAAAACCUCCCCUUUUUUCAAGUUUUUAACACUAACAUGCGUAAGAUGACCGAGGGCUUACACAAACAUCAAGAUUAUUUUUAAUUCACAGGCUCAAGGGAAAUAUAUGAAACAUCAAUAUAUAAAACAUCAAUAUAUAAAACACAAAAACACAUUUUUGUGUUUGUCAUAUUUGAUUAAAUGGACAUUAUGGUGUCUCAUAAAACUCUGUGUGUGUGUGUGUGUGUGUGUGUGUGUAAUUUCAGAAUGGCUUCAUCAAAGCAUCAUCGCAGUACCAGUGAGCCGUACACGAGGCUGCCACCCCUAACGGUCAAAGUGGUUUGUCUUAAAGAAACCCCUAAAGUCACUGGCUGGCAUUUCUCUGAUGGAAGUGCAAGGCCCAAAACUGUCCACAAUAAUACAACUGCGGCAGUAUGUGACGGGACAAAUGUGUUCAGAUUUGUGCUAUUCGAAAACUUGGCCUCCCAAAUUAAAGAGGGUAAAACCUAUACCAUUAGAAAUUUCAAAAUGGGCAAAUUUGGAAGCACGCGAUCAAUGCUUUCAAGUAAGGACACGGCAGUGUACGUCAGUGCACCCAUCCAAGUCAGUCAGCAGCUGGAGGACGAGGCAAGGCUGCUUCUGGGGCCACCCACCACCUUGACCCCACUGACCAACAUCAGCCAAUCACAGAUGAUGUACGUGACAGUGAAGGGAUGGGUCACAGCUAUGGAACCGUUGAAAAAAAAUUCAAAAGGGGCAGGAUCCAGCAAUCCCUUUGCAGAUCAUCAAUCUCAAAGAGGAUGAGUCAGAGGUGAAUGUGGCACUCUGGGGAGAGGCUGUGCUCACCCCAGUCUGUAUCGGAUCUCCGGUAGAGAUCAGUCACUUAAGAGGCAGCAACUCGCAGUCACAUGGCUUUGCUCUUCAUACAUCACCAUUUACUGUGGUUAAGCCUGGAAGUGGGAUCCAUGAGAUUAAGCCAAGAGGUUACAGAACCAUUGGCCAAGACCAAGAGGUCCUGGACUCCGAUGACAUUCCACACAUUGUGUCAUCUGAUGUGUGGCUAAAAGUGUUCCCAGACACCCCAGAAAUCCUCCCUUCAGUGAUCCUGCUGAAUUAUGAAAAGGGCACCGUAAUAGAUAUUCUGAUGCCAGAGGAGUAAUGCUCUUUAUUAUUUUCCCAGCAUUUUUAGUUAAUUAUCUAAUGUAUUUCUUUUUUUAAUCUGUUGUUUAUCUGUAAGUAAUUAGUUAAAGAUGAAAAUUAAAUAAGUUGAAAAAAAAAAUCAGUUAAUUAGUUCAUUGUUUUGUGGUGGUUUGUUAUUCCUGAAUGUUUUAAU
Oreochromis niloticus (Nile tilapia) is the source of this 3703-nucleotide long non-coding RNA. RefSeq lists it as uncharacterized. The record is from RefSeq and is a predicted model, not a curated record. The transcript has 5 exons. NCBI's taxonomy places the organism in Eukaryota, Metazoa, Chordata, Actinopteri, Cichliformes, Cichlidae.